CUUCUUUUCCCAUCGGUAAAAUUAGGGGUUAGUUCAGAAUGCCAUUGUCACUUUCAAUUGUAAUUAAUUAAUCAAUCAAUUCAACGGUAUCUGAUAGCCACUGUGGAAUACCCUGGGAAACAAGAAGAAAGGAGAAGAAGGAGGAGAAGGAAAAGAAGAAGAAAUAUCUUCUCCCCUUGAGAAGCAACUAGUCUGGCUUGAAGUCCCUGCUUUUUCUAAAUGAGGCAGCGCCUGGAAAGUCAUCAGGGAUGGCAGAAUUCUUCCUGAGGGAUCUAGGGUGGACAAGCAUCUCUGGACCACACUGGAGACAAGAUGGGCAGAGACAAGCAUGUGACACUGGGCAAAAUAUUAGCAGACGGUGACCAGAGAAGAACCCAGUCUCAGCACAAAUGCAGGAAGGAGAGAUUGGCCAAAGUCAACGGGCACUGCAAGAACCUGUGGAUUCAUCUCCUUUGAUGGGGAUCAAAGAAGGAAGAAAUGGCUCCUGGAAGCUCACAGCAGUGUCGUGGUCUUGACUAGAAAAGAUUGCAGAUCACACCCAUACAACGAUGUUCCUCCAAACAUGCUGCCAUUGGUGAGACUUGGACCAAGCAACAUUGGACCAAGCAGCCCUUGUCCUCACAUCCAAAGGCAGUGGGUGGCCUAUCAGCAA
This 652-nucleotide long non-coding RNA is filed under the name Equus caballus (horse). RNAcentral's name for it is "lncRNA (ENSECAG00000058783.1)". The record is from RNAcentral. Lineage: Eukaryota; Metazoa; Chordata; Mammalia; Perissodactyla; Equidae.